CGCGGCCUAUCAGCUUGUUGGUGGGGUGAUGGCCUACCAAGGCUUUGACGGGUAGCCGGCCUGAGAGGGUGACCGGCCACACUGGGACUGAGACACGGCCCAGACUCCUACGGGAGGCAGCAGUGGGGAAUAUUGCGCAAUGGGCGGAAGCCUGACGCAGCGACGCCGCGUGAGGGAUGUCGGCCUUCGGGUUGUAAACCUCUUUCAGCUCUGACGAAGCCUUUCGGGGUGACGGUAGGGGCAGAAGAAGCGCCGGCUAACUACGUGCCAGCAGCCGCGGUAAGACGUAGGGCGCGAGCGUUGUCCGGAUUUAUUGGGCGUAAAGAGCUCGUAGGCGGCUUGUCGCGUCGGCCGUGAAAUGCUGCAGCUUAACUGUGGGAUUGCGGUCGAUACGGGCAGGCUAGAGUUCGGUAGGGGAGACUGGAAUUCCUGGUGUAGCGGUGAUAUGCGCAGAUAUCAGGAGGAACACCGGUGGCGAAGGCGGGUCUCUGGGCCGAUACUGACGCUGAGGAGCGAAAGCGUGGGGAGCGAACAGGAUUAGAUGCCCUGGUAGUCCAUGCUGUAAACGUUGGGCGCUAGGUGUGGGGACCCUUCCCGGGUUUCUGUGCCGUAGCUAACGCAUUAAGCGCCCCGCCUGGGGAGUACGG
This 647-nucleotide ribosomal RNA is filed under the name uncultured Actinomycetes bacterium. Its description in RNAcentral is "bacterial SSU rRNA". It matches the Rfam family "Bacterial small subunit ribosomal RNA", at positions 232 to 885 of the family's 1533-position model. The record is from RNAcentral. Lineage: Bacteria; Bacillati; Actinomycetota; Actinomycetes.